This is a long non-coding RNA of Argentina anserina (silverweed cinquefoil), 960 nucleotides long. RefSeq lists it as uncharacterized. The record is from RefSeq and is a predicted model, not a curated record. The transcript is spliced from 3 exons. NCBI's taxonomy places the organism in Eukaryota, Viridiplantae, Streptophyta, Magnoliopsida, Rosales, Rosaceae.
GGUGAGUUUUCUUCUCCCGGCCGAUCGCCGCUCGUUUUUUGCUUGCCUUCGGUCUUUGCUUUCUCGUCUUGGGUUGGUGCCUGACCUAGAAAAGAGGUUUCAUGGUGGUGGAUAGUGAUUGCUCCUCUAAUGCGGCUAUGAGAUUUGCAUUGCUUCCAUUACUUAUUCUGCAGCUAGACAAGUUGAAGAGGAUCUCUCAGUUUUUCCCCAAAUGAAAGAGUUUCAUCAAUCAACUUUUUUGUUUUGCACAAGGAAAGAAAGGAAAUUGGAUGCCCCUUGUACUUGUGGUUUCUUGCAUUCCCCUUUGUUCAGGUAAUCCAUAGUGAUGAUUAGUUCGAGUAUUGUUAUCUUUUAAAGUUUUGGAGUCUAUGGAUAAUUUGUGGAUUUAUUGAGGCAGGUCUGCAAAUUCCAUGUUUUUCCUGUGGUUGACUACCAUUUGCAGAAUGUCACUGGAUAAUCAUCCUCGCUUUGAUUGCUAAGAACAUAUGUGCAGUUUAUUUGUCAGCUAUUGGAAUAUCUUAAUUUAUUUCUGUCUUUUGCAAUGCUUUUCUAAGAUAUACUGCUUUCAAGGAUUUUUGUUCCAAAAGCAAAUGAACAUGGAUUUCGGUUAUUUCAUUUUCAGGGUGGUACACCUGUGGUUCCAGAAUUUGACUAAAUUACCUCACGGUGUUACAAGUCCCAUCUUUCUUCUCCUGAUUGCUGGUUUGCACUAUGCCAAUAUUCAGAUAAUUUGCUUAUGUACCUCGUCUCUGUCUGAUUUGAGUUAUUUAUUUAUUUUUUGUUUUGAGCUGAUAUGAACUUUGCAGAUGAUUAUAUUGUCAAAUAUGUUCAAAGAACGUUCAAAAUUGAAGUAAAAAUGCUCCAUUGUCCCACAUGUGGGUGCUACAUUUGUAGCUGAUGUUUUUUUCUUUGACAUACAGAUUUCUUUCAAGACAUAUUCUCUCAAUACAAUGAAGGGCG